Molecule: ribosomal RNA, 438 nt
Filed under: uncultured bacterium
Lineage: Bacteria
Description: bacterial SSU rRNA
Rfam family: Bacterial small subunit ribosomal RNA
Source: RNAcentral
UUACGGGAGGCAGCAGUGGGGAAUAUUGCACAAUGGGGGAAACCCUGAUGCAGCAACGCCGCGUGAGCGACGAAGGCCUUCGGGUUGUAAAGCUCUGUCUUCUCUGACGAAUAAAUGACGGUAAGAGAGGAGGAAGCCACGGCUAACUACGUGCCAGCAGCCGCGGUAAUACGUAGGUGGCAAGCGUUGUCCGGAAUUAUUGGGCGUAAAGGGUGCGUAGGUGGUCUUUUAAGUGGGAUGUGAAAUACCUGGGCUUAACUCAGGGAUUGCAUUCCAAACUGGGAGACUUGAGUGCAGGAGAGGAAAGUGGAAUUCCCAGUGUAGCGGUGAAAUGCGUAGAGAUUGGGAGGAACACCAGUGGCGAAGGCGACUUUCUGGACUGUAACUGACACUGAGGCACGAAAGCGUGGGGAGCAAACAGGAUUAGAUACCCUCGUA